RNAcentral lists this ribosomal RNA (253 nucleotides) under uncultured bacterium. Its description in RNAcentral is "partial 16S ribosomal RNA". It matches the Rfam family "Bacterial small subunit ribosomal RNA", at positions 524 to 776 of the family's 1533-position model. The record is from RNAcentral.
UACGUAGGGGGCAAGCGUUGUCCGGAAUCAUUGGGCGUAAAGCGCGUGUAGGCGGCCAGAAAAGUCCGCUGUGAAAACUCGAGGCUCAACUUCGAGCUGUCGGUGGAAACUUUCUGGCUAGAGUCCGGAAGAGGAGAAUGGAAUUCCUGGUGUAGCGGUGAAAUGCGCAGAUAUCAGGAGGAACACCAAUUGCGAAGGCAGCUCGCUGGGACGUGACUGACGCUGAGACGCGAAAGCGUGGGGAGCAAACAGG